Molecule: ribosomal RNA, 406 nt
Filed under: uncultured bacterium
Lineage: Bacteria
Description: partial 16S ribosomal RNA
Rfam family: Bacterial small subunit ribosomal RNA
Source: RNAcentral
AUUGAACGCUGGCGGCAGGCCUAACACAUGCAAGUCGAACGCGUGGCGGACGGGUGAGUAAUGUCUGGGAAACUGCCCGAUGGCGGGGGAUAACUACUGGAAACGGUAGCUACUACCGCAUACUAUCGGAUGUGCCCAGAUGGGAUGAGCUAGUAGGUGGGGUAAAGGCUCACCUAGUCGACGAUCCCUAGCUGGUCUGAGAGGAUGACACGCCACACUGGAAUGGAGACACGGUCCAGACUCCAACGGGAGGCACAAGAGGGGAAUAUUGCACAAGGGGCGCAAGCCUGAUGCAGCAAUGCUGGGUGUAUGAAGAAGUCCUUCGGGUUGUAAAGUACUGUCAGCGAGGAGUCGUUACUCGCAGAAGAAGGACCGGCUAACUCCGUGCCAGCAGCCGCGGUAAUAC